UACAGAGACCUCAAGCGUUAUCCGGAAUCAUUGGGCGUAAAGCGUACCGAUAGGUGGUUGAAAUAGUCUUGGGUAAAAGCCAGAAGCUCAACUUCUGCGUUUGCUUAAGAUACUUUUCGACUAGAGGGGCAAAGAGGUGAUUGGAACGAAUGGUGUAGUAGUGAAAUGCGUUGAUAUCAUUCGGAACACCGAAAGCGAAGGCAGAUCACUGGGUGCCUCCUGACACUGCUAGGACGAAAGCGUGGGUAGCGAAUGGG
This 257-nucleotide ribosomal RNA is filed under the name uncultured bacterium. RNAcentral's name for it is "partial 16S ribosomal RNA". It matches the Rfam family "Bacterial small subunit ribosomal RNA", at positions 524 to 776 of the family's 1533-position model. The record is from RNAcentral.